RNAcentral lists this ribosomal RNA (402 nucleotides) under bacterium. RNAcentral describes it as "partial 16S ribosomal RNA". It matches the Rfam family "Bacterial small subunit ribosomal RNA", at positions 355 to 775 of the family's 1533-position model. The record is from RNAcentral.
UGGGGAAUAUUGCACAAUGGGGGAAACCCUGAUGCAGCGACGCCGCGUGAACGAAGAAGGUAUUCGUAUCGUAAAGUUCUGUCCUAUGGGAAGAUAAUGACAGUACCAUAGAAGAAAGCUCCGGCUAAAUACGUGCCAGCAGCCGCGGUAAUACGUAUGGAGCGAGCGUUGUCCGGAAUUAUUGGGCGUAAAGGGUACGCAGGCGGUUUAAUAAGUCGAAUGUUAAAGAUCGGGGCUCAACCCCGCAAAGCAUUGGAAACUGAUAAACUUGAGUAGUGGAGAGGAAAGUGGAAUUCCUAGUGUAGUGGUGAAAUACGUAGAUAUUAGGAGGAAUACCAGUAGCGAAGGCGACUUUCUGGACACAAACUGACGCUGAGGUACGAAAGCGUGGGGAGCAAACAG